UUGUUCGAAUGUACCGUGCAUCACAUUUGGGUAACCGGAUGUUCGCCCAGGGGAACAGUGAGAAAUGCUUAUGGGAAUCAACUUGUUCAGUUCCCCUGUGAUAGCGAGACAGAUCUUGGCCUUUUCUGAGAAACUCUCAUUCCGAGCUACGAGAAGUCCUCUAAGCUGAAGACUAGAAUAAUAGGAUAGGUGAUAGUCGCAGAUGAGGAAGUAUCUGGAUAUGUAAAUUCUUUAAGGAUAGUCUUUCAUCCCGUAGUGUAGGCCUUUGUAAC
RNAcentral lists this long non-coding RNA (272 nucleotides) under Manihot esculenta (cassava). RNAcentral describes it as "long non-coding RNA (MESC_LNC006234)". The record is from RNAcentral. Lineage: Eukaryota; Viridiplantae; Streptophyta; Magnoliopsida; Malpighiales; Euphorbiaceae.